Long non-coding RNA from Dromiciops gliroides (monito del monte), 300 nucleotides. RefSeq lists it as uncharacterized. The record is from RefSeq and is a predicted model, not a curated record. The transcript is spliced from 3 exons. NCBI's taxonomy places the organism in Eukaryota, Metazoa, Chordata, Mammalia, Microbiotheria, Microbiotheriidae.
UGACAUUCAAGGAUGUGGCUGUGGAUUUCACCAAAGAGGAGUGGCUCCUCUUGGACGAUUCUCAGAAAGAGCUAUACAAGGAGGUCAUACUGGAGAAUGUCCAGAACCUGCUUUCUGUGGGACUUCCAAUUUCUAGAGAAGAUUUGAGCUCCCAUGUAUAGGAAGGGGAACUACCAGGGAUGGUAAAACAAAAAGGUCCAAAGAACUCCAGAGCACAGUGCCUUUUUUGAGUGGGCAUGCCGUGCUGGAUGAUCCUGUGCCAAUGUCUCCCAUGUCUCACAAUCAAUACCAGAGUUCUUC